RNAcentral lists this long non-coding RNA (502 nucleotides) under Heterocephalus glaber (naked mole-rat). RNAcentral's name for it is "lncRNA (ENSHGLG00000048067.1)". Lineage: Eukaryota; Metazoa; Chordata; Mammalia; Rodentia; Bathyergidae. The record is from RNAcentral.
CUAGAAUUCCAUUCCUCAGCGUGGAAGAGCUGUACCCUCAUCCUUAAAGUCCCCGUCUUGAGCUCACAUCCCGCUCCCAGAACUCUCUCCAAGUCACAACUACAGUACUACAUAGGGGCGAAGGGCUUUGGACGGCACCUAGAGAAUACAAACCACUCUCAUGAGGACAGAGGACGUUGAAGUGAGGGAGAGAGGUGUAUAGAGCCCAGCCUCUGCCUGAAGGAGCUUCCAGACUGGUGGUUUCAUUGAAGCAAAAGGAUCUGGCACUGAACCCCAUGACAGAAUUGUCAAAGAGAACAAGAUCAGCGAGGUUACAGGGGCAACCUCAGAGAGCUCCUUCCUCCCUUCCACCAUGACAGGACUCAGAGAGAAGGCACCAUCUAUGGACCAGGAAAGAGCUUCUCACCAAACACUAAGUCUGCACUUGCAACCUCCAGCACUGUAAAAAAUAAAUUUCUAUUGUUUAGAAGACACCAGUUUAUGAUGUUUUGGUGUAGUAGCC